RNAcentral lists this ribosomal RNA (482 nucleotides) under uncultured bacterium. Its description in RNAcentral is "partial 16S ribosomal RNA". It matches the Rfam family "Bacterial small subunit ribosomal RNA", at positions 28 to 523 of the family's 1533-position model. The record is from RNAcentral.
GACGAACGCUGGAGGCGUGCUUAACACAUGCAAGUCGAACGAUGAAAUGGAGCUUGCUCCAUGGAUUAGUGGCGAACGGGUGAGUAACACGUGAAUAACCUGCCCUUAAUUUUGGAAUAACCCAGGGAAACCUGGGCUAAUACCGGAUAAGUAAACCUGUGGCAUCACAUGGUUUUGGAAAGUUUUUCGAUUAAGGAUGGAUUCGCGGCCUAUCAGCUUGUUGGUGAGGUAAUGGCACACCAAGGCGACGACGGGUAGCCGGCCUGAGAGGGUGAACGGCCACGCUGGGACUGAGACACGGCCCAGACUCCUACGGGAGGCAGCAGUGGGGAAUAUUGCGCAAUGGACGAAAGUCUGACGCAGCGACGCCUCGUGAGGGACGAAGGUCUUCGGAUUGUAAACCUCUUUCAGCAGGGACGAAGCGAAAGUGACGGUACCUGCAGAAGAAGCACCGGCUAACUAUGUGCCAGCAGCCGCCGUAA